RNAcentral lists this non-coding RNA (28 nucleotides) under Mus musculus (house mouse). Lineage: Eukaryota; Metazoa; Chordata; Mammalia; Rodentia; Muridae. The record is from RNAcentral.
UCAAAGCCACCUGGUCCUGCUCACUGUU